RNAcentral lists this ribosomal RNA (490 nucleotides) under uncultured bacterium. RNAcentral's name for it is "partial 16S ribosomal RNA". It matches the Rfam family "Bacterial small subunit ribosomal RNA", at positions 30 to 507 of the family's 1533-position model. The record is from RNAcentral.
AUUGAACGCUGGCGGCAGGCCUAACACAUGCAAGUCGAACGGUAACAGGAAGCAGCUUGCUGCUUCGCUGACGAGUGGCGGCCGGGUGAGUAAUGUCUGGGAAACUGCCUGAUGGAGGGGGAUAACUACUGGAAACGGUAGCUAAUACCGCAUAACGUCGCAAGACCAAAGAGGGGGACCUUAGGGCCUCUUGCCAUCGGCUGUGCCCAGAUGGGAUUAGCUAGUAGGUGGGGUAACGGCUCACCUAGGCGACGAUCCCUAGCUGGUCUGAGAGGAUGACCAGCCACACUGGAACUGAGACACGGUCCAGACUCCUACGGGAGGCAGCAGUGGGGAAUAUUGCACAAUGGGCGCAAGCCUGAUGCAGCCAUGCCGCGUGUAUGAAGAAGGCCUUCGGGUUGUAAAGUACUUUCAGCGGGGAGGAAGGGAGUAAAGUUAAUACCUUUGCUCAUUGACGUUACCCGCAGAAGAAGCACCGGCUAACUCCGUG